This 119-nucleotide ribosomal RNA is filed under the name Moschus moschiferus (Siberian musk deer). Lineage: Eukaryota; Metazoa; Chordata; Mammalia; Artiodactyla; Moschidae. The record is from RNAcentral.
AUCUAUGGCCAUACCACCCUGAACAUACCCCAUCUUGUCUGAUCUCGGAAGCUAAGCAGAGUUGGGCCUGCUUAGUAUUUGAAUGGGAGACCGCCUGGGAAUACCGGGUGCUGUAGGCU